RNAcentral lists this ribosomal RNA (397 nucleotides) under uncultured bacterium. Its description in RNAcentral is "partial 16S ribosomal RNA". It matches the Rfam family "Bacterial small subunit ribosomal RNA", at positions 523 to 918 of the family's 1533-position model. The record is from RNAcentral.
AUACGUAGGGGGCGAGCGUUGUCCGGAAUGAUUGGGCGUAAAGGGCGCGUAGGCGGCGCGGUAAGUCUGGAGUGAAAGUCCUGCUUUCAAGGUGGGAAUUGCUUUGGAUACUGUCGCGCUUGAGUGCAGGAGAGGUUAUCGGAAUUCCCGGUGUAGCGGUGAAAUGCGUAGAGAUCGGGAGGAACACCAGUGGCGAAGGCGGGUAACUGGACUGCAACUGACGCUGAGGCGCGAAAGUGUGGGGAGCAAACAGGAUUAGAUACCCUGGUAGUCCACACUGUAAACGAUGAAUGCUAGGUGUAGGGGGUAUCGACCCCUUCUGUGCCGCAGUCAACACAAUAAGCAUUCCGCCUGGGGAGUACGGCCGCAAGGUUGAAACUCAAAUGAAUUGGCGGGG